Molecule: ribosomal RNA, 484 nt
Filed under: uncultured bacterium
Lineage: Bacteria
Description: partial 16S ribosomal RNA
Rfam family: Bacterial small subunit ribosomal RNA
Source: RNAcentral
GACGAACGCUGGCGGCGUGCUUAACACAUGCAAGUCGAACGAUGAACCCGGAGCUUGCUCCGGCGGAUUAGUGGCGAACGGGUGAGUAACACGUGAGUAACCUGCCCUUGACUCUGGGAUAACUGCGGGAAACUGUAGCUAAUACCGGAUACGACCCUCGGCGGCAUCGCCAGGGGGUGGAAAGAAUUUCGGUCAAGGAUGGACUCGCGGCCUAUCAGCCAGUUGGUGAGGUAACGGCUCACCAAGGCGACGACGGGUAGCCGGCCUGAGAGGGUGACCGGCCACACUGGGACUGAGACACGGCCCAGACUCCUACGGGAGGCAGCAGUGGGGAAUAUUGCACAAUGGGCGCAAGCCUGAUGCAGCAACACCGCGUGAGGGAUGACGGCCUUCGGGUUGUAAACCUCUUUUAGUAGGGAAGAAGCGAAAGUGACGGUACCUGCAGAAAAAGCACCGGCUAACUACGUGCCAGCCGCCGCGGUAA